Molecule: ribosomal RNA, 439 nt
Filed under: uncultured bacterium
Lineage: Bacteria
Description: partial 16S ribosomal RNA
Rfam family: Bacterial small subunit ribosomal RNA
Source: RNAcentral
CUACGGGGUGCAGCAGUGGGGAAUAUUGCACAAUGGAGGAAACUCUGAUGCAGCAACGCCGCGUGGAGGAUGACACUUUUCGGAGCGUAAACUCCUUUUAUAUAGGAAGAAGAUGACGGUACUAUAUGAAUAAGCACCGGCUAACUCCGUGCCAGCAGCCGCGGUAAUACGGGGGGUGCAAGCGUUACUCGGAAUCACUGGGCGUAAAGCGAGCGCAGGCGGAUAGAAAAGUCAGAAGUGAAAUCCUAUAGCUUAACUAUAGAACUGCUUCUGAAACUCUUUAUCUAGAAUAUGGGAGAGGUAGAUGGAAUUUCUGGUGUAGGGGUAAAAUCCGUAGAGAUCAGAAGGAAUACCGAUUGCGAAGGCGAUCUACUGGAACAUUAUUGACGCUGAGGCUCGAAAGCGUGGGGAGCAAACAGGAUUAGAUACCCGCGUAGUC